Molecule: ribosomal RNA, 465 nt
Filed under: uncultured bacterium
Lineage: Bacteria
Description: bacterial SSU rRNA
Rfam family: Bacterial small subunit ribosomal RNA
Source: RNAcentral
UGAACGUUGGCGGCGUGGAUUAGGCAUGCAAGUCGAGCGAGAAGCUUUCCUUCGGGAGAGUGGACAGCGGCGCAAGGGAGAGUAACGCGUGGAUACCUGCCCUAGGGUUCGGAAUAGCUGCGGGAAACUGCAGGUAAUACCGAAUAACAUCUCCGGAUCAAAGGUGUGAUUCCGCCCUGGGAUGGGUCCGCGUCCUAUUAGCUUGUUGGUGAGGUAACGGCUCACCAAGGCUGCGAUAGGUACCGGGUGUGAGAGCAUGGCCCGGCUCACUGGGACUGAGACACUGCCCAGACACCUACGGGUGGCUGCAGUCGAGAAUCUUCGGCAAUGAGCGCAAGCUUGACCGAGCGACGCCGCGUGGGGGAUGAAGGCCUUCGGGUUGUAAACCACUGUCAGAGGGGAUGAAGUGCUGGAAGGCUAUCCUUCCAGUUUGACAAAUCCUCAGAGGAAGUACGGGCUAAGUUC